GACGAACGCUGGCGGCGUGCUUAACACAUGCAAGUCGAACGGUAAGGCCCUUCGGGGUACACGAGUGGCGAACGGGUGAGUAACACGUGGGUGAUCUGCCCUGCACUUCGGGAUAAGCCUGGGAAACUGGGUCUAAUACCGGAUAGGACCACUGCCUGAAUGGGGGGUGUGGGAAAGCUUUUGCGGUGUGGGGUGGGCGCGCGGCCGAUCAGCUUGUUGGUGGGGUGAUGGCCUACCAAGGCGACGGCGGGUAGCCGGCGUGAGAGGGUGACCGGCCACACUGGGACUGAGAUACGGCCCAGACUCCUACGGGAGGCAGCAGUGGGGAAUAUUGCACAAUGGGCGCAAGCCUGAUGCAGCGACGCCGCGUGAGGGCUGACGGCCUUCGGGUUGUAAACCUCUUUCAGCACCGACGAAGCGCAAGUGACGGUAGGUGCAGAAGAAGGACCGGCCAACUACGUGCCAGCCGCCGCAGUAA
This 478-nucleotide ribosomal RNA is filed under the name uncultured bacterium. Its description in RNAcentral is "partial 16S ribosomal RNA". It matches the Rfam family "Bacterial small subunit ribosomal RNA", at positions 28 to 523 of the family's 1533-position model. The record is from RNAcentral.